This 8251-nucleotide long non-coding RNA is filed under the name Triticum aestivum (bread wheat). Its description in RNAcentral is "long non-coding RNA (TAES_LNC002320)". The record is from RNAcentral. Lineage: Eukaryota; Viridiplantae; Streptophyta; Magnoliopsida; Poales; Poaceae.
GAGAAAACACUUCCAUUUUUCUAGAUAGAGCUUUGAGCCGCAACAUCCGCCUUCCGCUCUUGCAAUGGCUUCCAGCUCCGUGCUUAAGAUGGCCGCCAUUUUCGUGCUGGCCGUAUUCGCCGGCCAGGCACUGAUGGCUACGCUGGCGAUGGCAGAAGGACUAGGUUACCGACACAACCUUUUGGAGAAGUACGAUGAGACGCAAUGUCGCGGAUACGCCACAUGCAAUAUUGUAUGCUUCUACCAAGUUUUUCAAGUCUGCAUCAUCUACAGCCCUGUUGCAUUCUGCAACACUUGGGCGUUUGGGUUCUGCAAGGACAAGAGAUACUGAGGCAUAAAUAGCAGUGCAGCUCCUUUUGGGAUGCAUGCACAACUACACGAGCAACUCACCUCAUCAGUGUCAACUAUUAUUGUUCCUUCGUUAUUGGCGCUGUGCGUCGUAAGAGUCCUAAUAUGUUCCUCCCUUUAUUUCCAACUAUCAUGUAUCAGUGGCUUAACCAACUAUUUAAUUCCUAUAUUGUCUGUCAUCAUGGUACUUGUUCAACUAAAAAUCCCCCAUCGAAUACAAAUGUAUGUGUCGUGUGACUAUAAAAUGGUUCCGCCACUGCAACAUUUUUCAGUCCAUGAUGGCCAUAUAAGCAUGCUCUUUCCACCCUUACCCAUGAAUCUUUUUUCAUGAAUGACCAUUCGUUUGACAGAUUUGGCAUGUGGUUCGACAAAAUGCCAUAAAAAAUAAAGGAUGCAAAAAUAUAAUAAGGGAGCUUGAAGCUGAAUUGGCACUAACCUUGUAAAUACUUUUCGUAGUGGACAAGACAAAUACUACAUAGGCCAUCGCCACACCCAGUUUCGCACGAUCAUCGCAGAUGAUGCGAUGUUUGACAACAUAUACAUUCUAAAGGACACUCAGGGCCCGCAAGGCAUAGAGGGGGAGGUCAUAAGCACCUAUACCGUAAAAUAGAUUUUUGACGGAAUCAAAAAGACAUAUCUGGUAGAAUCGUAACCAUAGAAUACGACCCUAAUCGAAAUGCAUACAUUUGUCUCAUAGGGUGACCAGCGUUGCUUCCAUGUUAAUCCGGGCCCAUAGGGUACGGAAGUUUCUCCUUCUGUGAGUCCCUAUCACGUGGAACCCACAUCAACUGCCGUGAUUGCAUUGGCUUUCAGGGACCGAAUACAUCGAAUCGGGGUUUUCGAGCGGUCUCUCCUUAUUUACCUUGAGUACCCCAAACCCAUUGAGGUCACUUGCUGACGCUCUCUAGUAGUCGUCCAGGUGCUUGGGUCAUCCUUCUUCUGGCUAGUCGCUUUGGCAUCGAUCCUUUGGACAUUUGCUUCAAUCCCCCAAGAACGUCUUUCACUGCCCCUACCACAGAUGCUACCGAAAAGAGUUCCGACAUUGAGCAAGUAUUUUCUUGGACUAUCCCGAUCAAACAUCUCUCAUGCCUCAUUCUACCUUUGAAAACUGAAAUUAUAUCCAGGUACGAUAGAUCCGUGGGAAGUCAUUCCUUUGCCUCAGAAAUCCGCAAUUCCCAGAUGAAAAAUCCUAUUUCAAGCUCCUCUAGUUUCUUAAACCAGCACUGUUUCCUUUUCCAGCAGGGAUACUCCUGAAAAAGGGCUUCCGUUCAAAGUGGAAAGAAAGAGACCUGUCCGUUCUCCCUAUUUGCCUAGCGGUUAAGUAGAAUGUAGGGCCCCUCCUAGGCCACGCAACCAAGAGUCACUUGUCGAAAGUUGACCAGGAAGACAAUAACUAUCGAGGCUGGAAUUGAUAGAUGAAACUCUAAAAUGUUUCACCUUCUUCUAUGGUCAUUCUUAUUUUCAUGAAGCUCACAUGUAAGCUUCGUCAGGCUUGUGGACAUCACAACGCCCAUUCACAUGUAUCUCUUCAACAUGCAAGCACUUCGUUAGGGCCGCUGUUUUUUUGGAAGUGGGUUCACUGUUUACGCCUCCAUGGAAUCUGGCUAGCUCGAAGAGUCCCCAGAUGACGUCGAGUUGCUCCUAGCACCCAGCUAGGCAUGAUCUAUGGUUCUCUCCUCAUUCCCAGUGAUGUGAUAAAUGAUUGGGACCGUUCACCUAGAACGGAAAAUCAUUGAAGGGGACUGAGGAAGGAGUUGGGCGUUUCCUAACUUCCAUUGCCAGAGUGGUUUUUUUACACCAGGGGAUGUUCCACCUACAUUGCACCCAUGAUAAUCACUAAAAUCGACAAAAAAUAUCUAAAUAAUUUGAAUUUGCGGGCUCGGCUGUGACCAAUUGUUUAGGGUGCUUAUUUGGUGGCCAAAUGACAUCCGAGGAGCUCUUUACAUAAAAAAUAUAUCAAAUUUUGUCCUGAAAGUUAUGUAAGCAUAGUUUGAGCAGAAGUUGUAUUUUGUAUAUAUGAAGCUCAUUUGAUACUAUUUGUUCACCAAACUAUGCGAGCACCUAAAACACUUGUUCAAUAAUGCCCCAAAGUUUUUUUUUUCUAUUUGUUAUGAUUUACUCUUCAGCGUGGGUAAAUUGCACUUUGGUGUAGCCACAACUUUUCCUUCCCAUCCCGCAUAUCUGAUGGUAGCAAGCUCGGUGUACAUCUUCACCCAUGGUGAGUAAACAACUCCUUGGUUGGCCGCUCCACCUAGAUAUGUGUCGCCAAAAGCAACUCCAGAUGUUCCUGUAGCUGAAGUGACGACCAGAUCUGAACCCCGUGGAUACUUGAACAUAUAACUUUGAGAGGAGAAUAUAUCUUCUUUCAUCAAAUAUCACAUUAUUUCUACGUAACUACACUGACUAUCAAAUUUUGCAUUCGUUAUAUAUUUCUCUCAAAUUUUGCUAAAACCAAAAUAUUUUUUUAAUACACAUGAAAUUUCCAUGUAACAAUUUGCGUAAAACAUCAUCUACACAACUAAUGAAUCAACUGGGAUGCAACAUGCAUACAUCUAAUUAGCUCGUGGUAAUUGUUUAAAUAUGUCAAGUUCAAUCAAUGAAUCUUUUUUCAUGAAUGACCAUUCGUUUGACAGAUUUGGCAUGUGAUUCGACACAAUGCCAUAAGAAAUAAAGGAUGCAAAAAUAUAAGGGAGCAUGAAGCUGAAUUGGCACUAACCUUGUUAAUAUUUUUCGUAGUGGACAAGACAAAUACUACACAGGCCAUCGCCACACCCAGUUUCGCUAGCUCAUCGCAGAUGAUGCGAUGUUUGACAACAUAUACAUUCUAAACGGACACUCAAGGCCCAUAGGGUGACCAGCGUUGCUUCCAUGUUAAUAUGGGCCCAUAGGGUAUGAAAGUUUUUCUUCUGUGAGUCCCUAUCAUGUGGAACCCACGUCAGCUGUCGUGAUUGCGUUGGCUUUCAGCGACCGAAUACAUCGAAUCGGGGUUUUCGAGCAUUCUCUCCUUAUUUACCUUGAGUACCCCAAACCCAUUGAGGUCGCCUGCCGACGCUCUCUAGUAGUCGUCCAGGUGCUUGGGACAUCCUUCUUCUGGCUAGAGUCGCUUUGGCAUCGAUCCUUUGGACAUUUGGUUCAAUCCCCCAAGAGCGUCUAUCACUGCCCCUACCGCAGAUACUACCGAAAAGAGUUCUGGCAUUGAGCGAGCAUUUUCUUGGACUAUCCUGAUCAAACAUCUCGCAUGCCUCAUUCUACCUUUGAAAACUGAAAUUUUAUCCAGGUACAAUAGAUCCGUGGGAAGUCAUUCCUUUGCCUCAGAAACCCGCAAUUCCCAGAUAGAAAAUCCUAUUUCCCGCUCCUCUAGUUUCUUAAACCAGCGCUGUUUCUAUUUCCAGCAGGGAUACUCCCGAAAAAAGGGCUUUCAUUCAAAGUGGAAAGAAAGAGACCGGUUUGUUCUCCCUCUUUGCCUAUCAGUUAAGUCGAUUGUAGGUCCCCUCCCAGGCCUCGCAACCAAGAGUCACUUGUCGAAAGUUGACCAGGAAGACAAGAACUAUCGAGCCUGGAAUAGAUAGAUGAAACUCUAAAAUGUUUCACCUUCUUCUAUGGUCAUUCUUAUUUUCAUGAAGUUGAAAUUGUGCUCGCACAUGUAAGCUUAAUCAGGUUUGUGGACGUCACAACCCCGAUUGUCCUGUAUCUCUUCAACAUGCAAGCACUUCGUUAGGGCUGGUGUUUUUUUUUGGAAGUGGGUUCACUGUUUACGCCUCCAUAGAAUCCGGCUAGCUCAAAGAGUCCCCAGAUUACGUCGAGUUGCUCCUGGCACCUUGCUAGGCACGAUCUAUGGUUUUCUCCUCAUUCCAGUGAUGUCAUAAAUGAUUGGGACCGUUCACCUAGAACGGAAAAUCAUUGAAGGGUAGUGAGGAAGGAGUUGGGCGUUUCCUAACUUCCAUUGCCUACACCAGGGGACGUUCCACUUACAUUGCACCCAUGAUAAUCACUAAAGUCGAAAAAAUAGCUAAAUAAUUUGAAUUUGCGGGCUCGGCUGCGACCAAUUGUUUAGUGUGCUUAUUUGGUGGCCAAAUGACAUCCGAGGAGCUCUUUACAUAUAAACAUAUCAAAUUUGGUCCUCAAAGUUAUGUACGCAUAGCUUGAGCAAAAGUUGUAUUUUGUAUAUAUGAAGCUCAUUUGAUAAUAUUUGGUCACCAAACUAUGCAAGCACCUGAAACACUUGUUCAAUAAUGCCCCAAAGUUUUUUUCUAUUUUUUAUGAUUUUACUCUUUAGCGUGGGUAAAUUGCACUUCGGUGUAGCCACAACUUUUCCUUCCCUUCCCGCAUCUCUGAUGGUAGCAAGCUCGAGGUACCGGUCAGGAGUUUUUAGCUGGAAGGAUGUGGCGAUCGUGACUCCAAGGUCAUAUCUAUCCAGGGGUACUAUUCUGGGGACAAAGCCAUUAGGAGUUGCUUUUGACCGUGAUCCUUUUGACCAGUUAUCGCAAUGCCCAAACUUUGCUACAUUAACAUACAUGAAUUUGUAUGACAGUGGGAAGUAACAUCGAAUUAUGAAAAUGAUACAGGGAGACAAUCUUCCCCUUUCGGCCCCCACGAUGCAAAUAACAACCUUACUCCUACUUGUCUAGAAUUAUAUGUAUCAACAGGUAUAGUGUGUGUGAGGGGGUGAGGGGGAUCCUGCAAGCCUUGUACACUAGGUUUCUAGCACAUUUGGUGACCAGUCUUGACCAGAUGUGCAAGUUCAGAUCUAGUCUAGGCCUGAAGCUAGGGCUUCCAUUCAGUCAUCUUGGCCCUCCAAGCAGAAGUUGUCACCUCUUGUUCAGGUGCUAAUGUAUUUAUAAAUGGUUUGGGGUCAGAUGGACGCCUUCCUUUCCUAGCCUUCCGUUCGUGAAAAGCUUUAUAAUUCCACUGUCAUGACAUGUCCUCCCUCCUUUAAAGGAGUUCCUGGGGGACCCGUCAUCCUAAUUUCACUGCUAGGAGUGACCCUCCGUGGGAGUUGGUUUGACAUUCAUGAAAGUUUCCUUCAGGCUUACACGGCUUGGCAUGGGCCCGAUCCACCACUUUCCAAAAACAUAUGACCUACCCGUAUACUACACCUUCACCCAUGGUGAGUAAACAACCCCUUGGUUGCCCGCUCCACCAGAUACGUGCUGCCAAAAGCAACUCCUGAUGUUCUGUAGCUGAAGUGAUGACAAGAUCUGAACCCGGUGGAUACUUGAGCAGAUAACUUGGAGAGGAGAAUAUAUCUUCUUUCUUAAAAUUUUGCAUUCGUUAUAUAUUUCUCUCAAAUUUUUCUAAAACUAAUUUUUUUAGUACAAAUGAAAUUUCCAUGUAACAAUUUGCGUAAAACAUCAUCUACACAACUAAUGAAUCAACUGGGAUGCAACAUGCAUAUAUCUAAUUAGCUCGUGGUAUUAUUUAAAUAUGUCAAGUUGAAUCAAUGAUAAAUAAAUAGAAAUAAGAAAUUAACUAUAAAAUAUUUCAAUAUUAAUUAAUGUGGAUGACAGGCAUAAUGUAACCAUGACUCCCUGACAGGUAGGUAGUACAAACGGCAGGGUUGAUUUUAUAUCCGUGUGUUGCUUCUGAUAAUUUACCUGUCGGCAAACAAAAAGAAUAAUGAUAGAUCAAACUAUGUGCUUUUGGUUAGCAGCAUACGCGAAACACAGUUGAAGAACUGUAAUGAUGGUAUGCCAUGAGAUGCUUUCCUAGGUGAGUAAUUUAUGAUCUCGAGAUGCCCUUCACACACUUACCUAAGUUGACAACUAACUCUAUAAUGCCAUUAAGACUUGAACACUAUUGUUUUAUACUAUUUUCGACUUAAUAUUGAAUCUUGGUGCCAUGGUGAUAGUAUAUUUUAGACUCGGAUCAUGGCAUACACAAGGAUCAUCUAUCGAUUAUUAAUUAAGUGCUAAAUUAUGUGGUGGCAAUAUAUGGACCUAGCUGGCUUGAGAUUUGCUACAUGCAGGGGAGUACGACAACAUCAAUUAUAUCAUGCAUGAUGAGAUUGAGCUUACACAAACUUGUAUUAUCAUGCGUCUACUUUUGAAAUAUACAUAAAAAGGAAGUAAAAUUUGUAGGAAAAAUUAUUGGCUGGUCAAAUAAUUUCAUUCUUCUGGAAUGUAUGACCAUAUUAAUAAUGAAGUACUUGAUUAGACUAACGCUUCUACUGAACCCUCACAGGUAAACGCCAUGAUGGUGUUGCAUCUACCCUUAUAUGCUUAUGUCUGGAACACAUGCUCUGCUUUUGGAUUUAUCUCCAUAAAAAAUACACUAUUCGAGGAAUCGUCAGAGUUUUCCCCGGGGUUAAAGUUUAUACUGAAAUUUGUAAUUUUGAUUAGCAGUAUAAGGGUCGGUAAAAUGCCAUUCAAGAUAUGUAUUGACGGUAACGCGCAAGGCUCUCUCAUAGGUGUGUAAUUUAUGAUCUUAAGAUGCUCUAUGCGCUCGUGGUUGUUUGGUUAAAUAAAAUUAGCCAUGAGUUUAUGGAAAAUUAGUUGUUAGCUGGUUUUUAGUAAAAUCCUUUUUGCUAGCAGUUUUGUGAAUAAUCAGUAUAGGAAAAAUAGUGUUAGGGAUUAGGAAACUGUAAAGACGGACAUGCAUUUACUUGUUUGGAUAAAAUUCCAUAUUCCUCUCUCUGUGAGUUGUGGAAGGAGGAUGGCAAGAAAAAAGUUUGGGGCGUGAGGAAGUUAGUUAGGAUCCCGUAUUGCUAUUGCGUUAAAAAAAACAAAUAGUAGUUUUUCUACAAAUGUAAAAUCGUGAGUUUACUUGAAAAAAGGUCUUCAUAUACGCGGGUUAGUUAGAAUAGCGAAGAAAGAUUCUAAUCGGUUAGACAGUUUUUCAAGUUUAUAGGAAUUGCGUUUUGUAUAUACUAUCUAUCCUACCAACCCUAGCUAAGUUGUGAACUCUAUAACGCCAUCAAUACUUGAACGUACUACAGUUCUGUCUUGUUUGGACUCCCGACUGAAUCAUGGUAGUUGUACAUUUUUUACUCAGUGCAUGUCACACACACCAUGAUUAUCUACUGAUUGUUAAGUGCUAGGUAUGUGUUGACAAGAUAUCCAACUAGUUGGCUUGAUAUUGGGUACAUGCAGGGGAGUACUCCAAAGUCAACUAUAUAUCAUGAUGGGAUCAAGCAUACAUAAACAUGUAUUAUCAUGCAUGUUCGUAUGAUAGUGCAGUAUCAGCUCUGAGAUCAUGAAUGGCAAACUGGAGGGGCUAAUUUAUGAGUGCGCGUGCUUAUAAAUAGGGUCUCUAGCUAGCUAGUACUCACAUCAACACAAGCACGAGAAAACACUUCCAUUUUUCUAGAUAGAGCUUUGAGCCGCAACAUCCGCCUUCCGCUCUUGCAAUGGCUUCCAGCUCCGUGCUUAAGAUGGCCGCCAUUUUCGUGCUGGCCGUAUUCGCCGGCCAGGCACUGAUGGCUACGCCGGCGAUGGCAGAAGGACUAGGUUACCGACACAACCUUUUGGAGAAGUACGAUGAGACGCAAUGUCGCGGAUACGCCACAUGCAAUAUUGUAUGCUUCUACCAAGUUUUUCAAGUCUGCAUCAUCUACAGCCCUGUUGCAUUCUGCAACACUUGGGCGUUUGGGUUCUGCAAGGACAAGAGAUACUGAGGCAUAAAUAGCAGUGCAGCUCCUUUUGGGAUGCAUGCACAACUACACGAGCAACUCACCUCAUCAGUGUCAACUAUUAUUGUUCCUUCGUUAUUUACGCUGUGCGUCGUAAGAGUCCUAAUAUGUUCCUCCCUUUAUUUCCAAUUAUCAUGUAUCAGUGGCUUAACCAACUAUUUAAUUCCUAUAUUGUCUGUCAUCAUGGUACUUGUUCAACUAAAAAUCCCCCGUCGAAUACAAAUGUAUGUGUCGUGUGAUUAUAAAAUGGUUCCGCCACUGCAACAUUUUUCAGUC